This 86-nucleotide transfer RNA is filed under the name Candidatus Poribacteria bacterium. Its description in RNAcentral is "tRNA-Leu". It matches the Rfam family "tRNA". From Rfam's summary of the family: Transfer RNA (tRNA) molecules are approximately 80 nucleotides in length. Lineage: Bacteria; Candidatus Poribacteria. The record is from RNAcentral.
GGGCGUGUGUUGGAAUUGGUAGACAAGGCAGAUUUAGGAUCUGUUGGGGUUUCCCCGUGGGGGUUCGAGUCCCUUCACGCCCAUCA